GUGAAUUAUUGUUAGAAAGAUUAAGAAAUCCUUGGUGAAUUUCUCUUACAAUCUUGUGCGCAGAGCGGUGGAGCAAGCAAAGCAAUGGGUAGCGUUGUGUCAAUCAACUUAUCAUGCGAUGACAUUGUUUCACGCUGCUGGGAUUCCGUUUUUGGAAGAGAACCGUAUGUACGUAAGCUCCAAGAAAACCUUCAAGCUCUCUCAACUUAUUUACAAGAACUCAAGGCUUUAGAGGAUGAUGUGCAAAGAAAGGUUGAGCUUGCAGAGCGGCAGCCGCGAUUAAAGCGGUUAGAGCAGAACUAAUGAAGCCUUGUGGCUAUAUGGCAGUGGAAUCUAGAAGUGUGAAGAAUUCGAGGACUUCUUCUACAAGUAUGUCAAAACUUAGGAUGGGAAUUGGGGCUACUUAUCAUAAACAAGUGCAGGGUAUGGAAUGCAACUUCAAGUGGAACGAACUCGAGAAAAUGAGUCGCAUCUAUGCUGAUUGGAUUGAAGAUAUCCCCCCUUGUACAUGGCUUAUCAAGCAAAGCGGAGUGCUGAUUAAGUUUAGGGAUUUCAGUCGUUACUUUGCUUUUGUAAAGACGUGUUUUCUUUUUACAAGUGUGGUGUGUCAAAUGGAUGUAACUAGCAGAAAAUUGGUUCGUGUAGUGUGAACUGACUUGAAAAUGUUAUUUGCAAGUAACUCUCA
Molecule: non-coding RNA, 685 nt
Organism: Prunus mume (Japanese apricot)
Lineage: Eukaryota; Viridiplantae; Streptophyta; Magnoliopsida; Rosales; Rosaceae
Source: RefSeq, a predicted model, not a curated record